CCAACAGGGAUUCCCUCAGUAAGGGCGACUGAAAUGGGAAGAGCCCAGCGCAUAAGCUUGCUUUGCCCUUCACCGGGCGCGAGCGGUGUUGCGUUUCGGAGGGUCCGGCACGCUGCCCCACGACGCCUAAGUCAUGCUUGAAAGCGGCCACUACCCCUGGAGGGUGAAAGGCCCGUCUGGCGGAGCCCGUGAGGGCACAAGUGGGGUGGUCGGAAAGGACCUUUCCGUAGAGUCGGGUUGCUUGAGAGUGCAGCCCAAAGCAGGUGGUAAACUCCAUCUAAGGCUAAAUAUGACCACGAGA
Molecule: ribosomal RNA, 301 nt
Filed under: Bythiopagurus macrocolus
Lineage: Eukaryota; Metazoa; Arthropoda; Malacostraca; Decapoda; Paguridae
Description: eukaryotic LSU rRNA
Rfam family: Eukaryotic large subunit ribosomal RNA
Source: RNAcentral